RNAcentral lists this non-coding RNA (26 nucleotides) under Mus musculus (house mouse). Lineage: Eukaryota; Metazoa; Chordata; Mammalia; Rodentia; Muridae. The record is from RNAcentral.
UACAAUGGCCUCUCAGCUUCUCUGGU